UAGAAAAAUACCUUCUCCCAAGAACAGAAU
Molecule: non-coding RNA, 30 nt
Filed under: Rattus norvegicus (Norway rat)
Lineage: Eukaryota; Metazoa; Chordata; Mammalia; Rodentia; Muridae
Source: RNAcentral